This 637-nucleotide ribosomal RNA is filed under the name Bacillus licheniformis. Its description in RNAcentral is "bacterial SSU rRNA". It matches the Rfam family "Bacterial small subunit ribosomal RNA", at positions 46 to 667 of the family's 1533-position model. Lineage: Bacteria; Bacillati; Bacillota; Bacilli; Caryophanales; Bacillaceae. The record is from RNAcentral.
GCUAUAAUGCAGUCGAGCGGACCGACGGGAGCUUGCUCCCUUAGGUCAGCGGCGGACGGGUGAGUAACACGUGGGUAACCUGCCUGUAAGACUGGGAUAACUCCGGGAAACCGGGGCUAAUACCGGAUGCUUGAUUGAACCGCAUGGUUCAAUCAUAAAAGGGGGCUUUUAGCUACCACUUACAGAUGGACCCGCGGCGCAUUAGCUAGUUGGUGAGGUAACGGCUCACCAAGGCGACGAUGCGUAACCGACCUGAGAGGGUGAUCGGCCACACUGGGACUGAAACACGGCCCAGACUCCUACGGGAGGCAGCAGUAGGGAAUCUUCCGCAAUGGACGAAAGUCUGACGGAGCAACGCCGCGUGAGUGAUGAAGGUUUUCGGAUCGUAAAACUCUGUUGUUAGGGAAGAACAAGUACCGUUCGAAUAGGGCGGCACCUUGACGGUACCUAACCAGAAAGCCACGGCUAACUACGUGCCAGCAGCCGCGGUAAUACGUAGGUGGCAAGCGUUGUCCGGAAUUAUUGGGCGUAAAGCGCGCGCAGGCGGUUUCUUAAGUCUGAUGUGAAAGCCCCCGGCUCAACCGGGGAGGGUCAUUGGAAACUGGGGAACUUGAGUGCAGAAGAGGGAGAGUGGAAA